Molecule: transfer RNA, 64 nt
Filed under: Bostrichoidea sp. 6 KM-2017
Lineage: Eukaryota; Metazoa; Arthropoda; Insecta; Coleoptera
Description: tRNA-Asp
Source: RNAcentral
AAAAAUUUAGUUAAUAACAUAACAUUAGUUUGUCAUACUAAAAUAAUUUAAGUAAUAAUUUUUU